Molecule: long non-coding RNA, 1082 nt
Filed under: Numida meleagris (helmeted guineafowl)
Lineage: Eukaryota; Metazoa; Chordata; Aves; Galliformes; Numididae
Description: lncRNA (ENSNMEG00000019551.1)
Source: RNAcentral
AAAAAUGACUGUUCUUUCAUGAAAUGUUGACAUCUGCAGACAAAUAGUGUCCUGCAGCAUGUGCCAAAUUCCCUCUCUUCAUAUGUAAACCUUGCUACAAACACCUCCUACCCUGAUAUUUUUAGUGACAAGUGGAAAAUUGCUCUAUUAGCAGAACAAGGAGAAGUUAAUUCCUUCCAGCACCAGUUGCUGGUUUUUUAAGGCCAUGGAAACUUGGAAUUGAAUAUGCAAUAACAGGUAGAAAAAGACUGAGUACAAUCAUGUAAAAGCUGAAUUACUCCAAAUUGAUUUUUGCCUUCCCUCUUGCACUAAUUUUGUACCUAUUUGAUGUUGCAGAACUGUGCUGACUUUGAACGGGAAUUAAUGUCAAAGAUGCCCCUGAAGUCCAAAGCUGGAAUUCAGAUGAAAGACUUCUACAGUACGUUUUGACCUCUGUCAGCAGCAGCAGACUGGCUCGAAGACCUACAGGACAAAGAAUGGCUUUGCUAAUUAAGCCUACUGUAUGCUCACAGAAGAGACCAUGCUGGGACAGAGGACGGCGGAAGACAACUGGAAAGGAAGUGACACUUCGUUCACUUGAAGGAUCACACGCUUGUUUCUUUUCCAUCUGGCUGGAUGCUUGGCUAGCUUCUAAAGUCAGAGACACUGCAGAUGAACAUCUACGGCAUCUCUACCUCUGCAAAAACCUUCACUUGUACAGGUCUACAAAAGCCAAAGCAUGUGGGCUAGAUCAUGCGCUGUGAUGCAGAAGGAAAAUUGAGACAUCAAUCUCUGUCAUAUCCUCCAGCUGGAUGAAGUUCCUAUGCUUAACAGCAAUAUAGCAGUUUUUCCUCUCAGGAAUCAUUCCUUUCCACAUUUAAGCAGCAGAGCUGAUCUCCAAGUAGACAGAUCUGACAGGUAGCUCCUCUGAGAUCCCCUUUCCAAUUGCACUCUUGAUGCAGACAUGACAGGUUCAGGAAGAAAAGGAUGGUGAGGAGGGGGCAGCAGAAUGGAAAGCAGGAGAGGGAAAAGAAAGCAAACCAUAUAAUGUGCGAUAUAUUUCAGUACUAAGCAAUAAAGGAUGGAGAGAGAGAGAUGAAACA